This 794-nucleotide long non-coding RNA is filed under the name Sorghum bicolor (sorghum). RNAcentral's name for it is "long non-coding RNA (SBIC_LNC014075)". Lineage: Eukaryota; Viridiplantae; Streptophyta; Magnoliopsida; Poales; Poaceae. The record is from RNAcentral.
GCUGGAGCAUUUAUAGUUUUGUACUGAGUGAUUUCGAGCAAAGUCGAAAUACUUUCAAACUGAUUUUUAACUGUUUGGAAAGGUUUUUGAAAUAAAAAGAAAAAAACAAAACAAAAGAAAAAGGAAAACUAUUCCCUCUGUUCUGGCCCGAAGGCCACCCCAUUCUCCCCUCUCGGCUUCGGCCCAAGCCAGCACCGCGGCCCGUUCCCCAACAAGCAGACCACCCACCAGCGCUAGCUUCGGCCCAGCAAGCAGAUGUGGAUGGCCUGCCCCGCGCCCUUCCCACUCCCCUCAGCGUGGGCCAAACCAGCAGGCCGGCCCCGUCCCCCCCUUUUUUCCUUCUUUGACUGACGUCUCGGGCCCACUCGUUAGGCACCUACUCUUCUUCAACCUCCAGUCGGAGCGGUGCAGGACUCCUGACCGGGCAGUAAAUCCCGAUUUCUCUAAGAUUUCGAGUUUAGGACGUAAUCAACUUCCCCAAUAAGACCCCUGGCACUUGCCGUGACCCCUAUUUCUAUCUUCCCAUCCCCGAAAGCCGCCCCGGAGCCGCUGUUGGAUCUCGCCGCAAGAAGAGGUAGAGCCACCGCCUGGGUCCUCGCUCUGAGGUGCUCAAAGGUCGUCAAAAACCGUAUACCGAGCUUCGCAUCGAUCCUUCGACGACACUGAGCCCUUUUCUUUGCUCCACAUCGGGUUUUGUGGAGCCCAAACCGCUGCCGAAGUUGGGACGGAAAACCCGAGCCGCCAUAGCGAGCACUGCACCACCCCCCGCGUCUUCCCCGCCCUUGUUCUCGGCC